CCUACGGGGGGCAGCAGUGGGGAAUAUUGGACAAUGGGGGCAACCCUGAUCCAGCCAUGCCGCGUGUGUGAAGAAGGCCCUCGGGUUGUAAAGCACUUUCAGUGAGGAAGAACGCCUGGUGGUUAAUACCCAUCAGGAAAGACAUCACUCACAGAAGAAGCACCGGCUAACUCCGUGCCAGCAGCCGCGGUAAUACGGAGGGUGCGAGCGUUAAUCGGAAUUACUGGGCGUAAAGCGCGCGUAGGUGGCUUGAUAAGCCGGUUGUGAAAGCCCCGGGCUCAACCUGGGAACGGCAUCCGGAACUGUCAAGCUAGAGUGCAGGAGAGGAAGGUAGAAUUCCCGGUGUAGCGGUGAAAUGCGUAGAGAUCGGGAGGAAUACCAGUGGCGAAGGCGACCUUCUGGACUGACACUGACACUGAGGUGCGAAAGCGUGGGUAGCAAACAGGAUUAGAUACCCGUGUAGUC
RNAcentral lists this ribosomal RNA (465 nucleotides) under Vreelandella stevensii. RNAcentral's name for it is "partial 16S ribosomal RNA". It matches the Rfam family "Bacterial small subunit ribosomal RNA", at positions 338 to 795 of the family's 1533-position model. The record is from RNAcentral. Lineage: Bacteria; Pseudomonadati; Pseudomonadota; Gammaproteobacteria; Oceanospirillales; Halomonadaceae.